AGAGUUUGAUCAUGGCUCAGAGCGAACGCUGGCGGCAGGCUUAACACAUGCAAGUCGAGCGGGCGUAGCAAUACGUCAGCGGCAGACGGGUGAGUAACGCGUGGGAACGUACCUUUUGGUUCGGAACAACACAGGGAAACUUGUGCUAAUACCGGAUAAGCCCUUACGGGGAAAGAUUUAUCGCCGAAAGAUCGGCCCGCGUCUGAUUAGCUAGUUGGUGAGGUAAUGGCUCACCAAGGCGACGAUCAGUAGCUGGUCUGAGAGGAUGAUCAGCCACAUUGGGACUGAGACACGGCCCAAACUCCUACGGGAGGCAGCAGUGGGGAAUAUUGGACAAUGGGGGCAACCCUGAUCCAGCCAUGCCGCGUGAGUGAUGAAGGCCCUAGGGUUGUAAAGCUCUUUUGUGCGGGAAGAUAAUGACGGUACCGCAAGAAUAAGCCCCGGCUAACUUCGUGCCAGCAGCCGCGGUAAUACGAAGGGGGCUAGCGUUGCUCGGAAUCACUGGGCGUAAAGGGUGCGUAGGCGGGUUUUUAAGUCAGGGGUGAAAUCCUGGAGCUCAACUCCAGAACUGCCUUUGAUACUGAAGAUCUUGAGUCCGGGAGAGGUGAGUGGAACUGCGAGUGUAGAGGUGAAAUUCGUAGAUAUUCGCAAGAACACCAGUGGCGAAGGCGGCUCACUGGCCCGGUACUGACGCUGAGGCACGAAAGCGUGGGGAGCAAACAGGAUUAGAUACCCUGGUAGUCCACGCCGUAAACGAUGAAUGCCAGCCGUUAGUGGGUUUACUCACUAGUGGCGCAGCUAACGCUUUAAGCAUUCCGCCUGGGGAGUACGGUCGCAAGAUUAAAACUCAAAGGGAAUUGACGGGGGCCCGCACAAGCGGUGGAGCAUGUGGUUUAAUUCGACGCAACGCGCAGAACCUUACCAGCCCUUGACAUGUCCAGGACCGG
Molecule: ribosomal RNA, 947 nt
Filed under: uncultured bacterium
Lineage: Bacteria
Description: bacterial SSU rRNA
Rfam family: Bacterial small subunit ribosomal RNA
Source: RNAcentral